CGGGUGAGUAACGCGUGAGGAACCUGCCUCAAAGAGGGGGACAACAGUUGGAAACGACUGCUAAUACCGCAUAAGCCCACAGCUCGGCGUCGAGCAGAGGGAAAAGGAGUGAUCCGCUUUGAGAUGGCCUCGCGUCCGAUUAGCUAGUUGGUGAGGUAAUGGCCCACCAAGGCGACGAUCGGUAGCCGGACUGAGAGGUUGAACGGCCACAUUGGGACUGAGACACGGUCCAA
This 233-nucleotide ribosomal RNA is filed under the name uncultured bacterium. Its description in RNAcentral is "partial 16S ribosomal RNA". It matches the Rfam family "Bacterial small subunit ribosomal RNA", at positions 103 to 334 of the family's 1533-position model. The record is from RNAcentral.